UAAAAACACUUACAGCCUGUUCCACGAUGUCGAAAGAACACGUUCGCACAACUUUUACACGACAAACAGCUGAUUUCCGUUCCACUAAAAUCCAUCAGAACGAAAAUUUGCACGAAAAUCAAAGCGAACGAAAACGUAAGCGUUUCAGUGUAAUUUUGCGUUCCACUAUCUUUUUUCUUUCGUACGCAUGCGAACACAAAUGUCAAAAUCAGUCACUUGUGUGUUUGCUGUCGAAUGAUAAAAAUUAAGGAAAAUUGUUUUAACAUAAACAUUUCUUGAUUGAAAAUGGAAAGAAAAAUCACGAAAAAACUACACAGCUGCGGGCAAUAGUUGAGUAUAUGGGGGAGAAUCCUAAGUUCGCCAGAGGAGUGCCAAUUUUUGGAAGCAGCAGGCAAUCCCAUGAAGACCACUGGAAGACACAAACCUAGAAAAAAUCAUUUUUUUAUUAUUUUAAAAAUGUAAAAAUACAAUCAUACUUACUGGUUGUUAGGUACUUCAAAUAAAUUCGAAGCAUCUCUUAAAUGCCUCCGUGGCACAAUUUGAA
Musca domestica (house fly) is the source of this 544-nucleotide long non-coding RNA. RefSeq lists it as uncharacterized. The transcript is spliced from 2 exons. NCBI's taxonomy places the organism in Eukaryota, Metazoa, Arthropoda, Insecta, Diptera, Muscidae. The record is from RefSeq and is a predicted model, not a curated record.